GCUACGGGAGGCUGCAGUGAGGAAUAUUGGUCAAUGGGCGUAAGCCUGAACCAGCCAAGUCGCGUGAGGGAUGAAGGUUCUAUGGAUCGUAAACCUCUUUUAUAAGGGAAUAAAGUGCGGGACGUGUCCCGUUUUGUAUGUACCUUAUGAAUAAGGAUCGGCUAACUCCGUGCCAGCAGCCGCGGUAAUACGGUGGAUCCGAGCGUUAUCCGGUUUUAGUGGGUUUAAAGGGUGCGUAGGCGGCCUUUUAAGUCAGCGGUGAAAGCCUGUGGCUCAACCAUAGAAUUGCCGUUGAAACUGGGAGGCUUGAGUAUUUUUGAGGCAGGCGGCCUGCGUGGUGUUGCGGUGAAAUGCUUAGCUAUCCCGCAGAACCCCGAUUGCGACGGCAGCCUGCCAAGCCAUGACUGACGCUGAUGCACGAACGCGUGGGGAUCAAACAGGAUUAGAUACCCUGGUAGUC
RNAcentral lists this ribosomal RNA (460 nucleotides) under uncultured bacterium. Its description in RNAcentral is "partial 16S ribosomal RNA". It matches the Rfam family "Bacterial small subunit ribosomal RNA", at positions 338 to 795 of the family's 1533-position model. The record is from RNAcentral.